UCUAAGCAAGAGGGUGCAGCAUAACAUACUGCCAAGACUAAGAUCCUUGAGGGCAUUAUCAUUGUCUCAUUACAAGAUUAAGGAGUUGCCAAAUGACUUAUUUAUCAAAUUAAAGCUCCUCAGAUUUUUGGAUAUUUCUCGGACAGAGAUUAAAAGGUUGCCAGAUUCCAUUUGUGUGUUGUAUAACUUAGAGACACUUCUCCUGUCAUCUUGUGAUUAUCUUGAGGAGCUACCACUGCAGAUGGAGAAGUUAAUCAACUUGUGUCAUCUUGACAUAAGCAACACUUCUCUCUUGAAGAUGCCACUAUAUCUGAGCAAGUUGAAAAGCCUCCAAGUGUUAGUGGGAGCCAAGUUUCUUUUAGGUGGUUUGAGAAUGGAAGAUUUGGGUGAAGCACAGAACUUGUAUGGAUCUCUAUCAGUUGUAGAGUUGCAAAAUGUGGUUGAUAGUCGGGAAGCUGUGAAGGCAAAGAUGAGGGAGAAGAAUCAUGUUGACAAGUUAUCUUUGGAGUGGAGUGAAAGUAGUAGUGCCGACAAUUCAGAAACUGAAAGAGACAUACUUGAUGAACUACGCCCACAUAAAAACAUAAAAGAAGUCGAAAUCACUGGAUAUAGAGGGACAAAAUUUCCAAAUUGGCUAGCUGAUCCUUUGUUUCUUAAGCUGGUGGAAUUAUCUCUUAGCAACUGCAAGGUCUGUUAUUCCUUGCCAGCACUAGGAGAACUCCCUUGUUUGAAAUUCCUUUCGAUUAGAGGGAUGCAUGUAAUAACAGAUGUGAUGGAAGAAUUCUAUGGUAGUUUGUCCUCAAAAAAGCCUUUUAACUCUCUUGUGGAGCUUAGAUUUGAAGAUAUGCCGGAGUGGAAGCAAUGGCACCUACUAGGAAGUGUAGAGUUUCCUAUCCUUGAGAAGCUUUUCAUUAAAAAUUUCCCUGAACUCAGUUUGGAGACACCCAUCCAAUUUUCAAGUUUAAAAAGGUUUCAAGUUGUUGGUUCUUCUAAGGUUGGAAUUGUUUUUAAUGAUGCUCAACUGUUUAGAUCCCAACUUGAGGGAAUGAAGCAGAUUGAAGAAUUAUAUAUUAGUGAUUGUAACUCUAUUACCUCCUUACCUUUUAGCAUACUGCCCACUACCUUGAAGAGAAUAAGGAUAUCUGGUUGCCGGAAUUUGAAAUUGGAUCCGCCAGUUGGUGAGAUGAGUAUGUUUCUCGAGGAAUUGAAUCUGAAGGGAUGUGAUUGUAUAGAUGAGUUGCUCCCAAGAGCGCACAAAUUGAGAAUUUGGAGUUGCCAGAACCUUACUAGGUUUUUGAUUCCAACUGCGACUGAAAUACUCAAUAUUUGGAAUUGUGAGAAUCUUGAAAAACUUUCAGUGGCAUGUGGGGGGACCCAGAUGACGUGUUUGAAUAUUUGGGACUGUAAGAAGCUGAAGUGGCUGCCAGAACGUAUGCGGGAACUCCUUCCAUCUCUUAAGGAACUACAUUUGUGGGAUUGUCCAGAAAUAGAGUCCUUUCCUGAAGGAGGAUUGCCCUUCAAUUUACAAGCCCUUCGGAUCAAAUAUUGCAAGAAACUGGUGAAUGGGCGAAAGGAGUGGCGUUUACAGAGACUCCCCUGUCUCAAAAAGGUAACCAUCUUACAUGAUGGCAGUGACGAAGAGAUUGUUGGUGGUGAGAAUUGGGAGUUGCCUUCCUCUAUUCAAAGACUUUUUAUAGAGAAUCUGAAAACAUUAAGCAGCCAACAUCUCAAAAGCCUCACCUCUCUUCAAUCUCUACGUAUUGGGGGUAAUUUACCUCAAAUUCAGUCAAUGUUGGAACAAGGCCAGUUUUUGCACCUCACUUCGCUUCAACGUCUACAAAUCAUUGAUUUCCCUAAUCUCCAAUCUCUUCCAGUAAAAGGGAUGCCAUCUUCCCUCUCUACACUAGAUAUUCGUGACUGUCCAUUGCUCACACCACUACUAGAAUUUGACAAGGGGGAAUACUGGCCAAAUAUUGCUCAUAUCUCCACCAUAAAGAUCAAUGAGAAAUGCCUUUAAUGAUUAAAACAAAUGGUGCUCUCACAAAUGUAAGUUUUUCUUUUUCCUCAUAAGCAUUCUUUUUUCUUUAACUUCCUUUGCUUUUAUGUUAAUUCUUUUUCUUUAUUACAUUCUCGUUGCGCAGUAUGGAGUGUCUAUUGCCACUCUGAAACUGAGAAAUCAUCUUCAGAUUAUAAUUAUUUUAAUUUUAGAUCUCAUUAGCAAUUAAUGUUACAUAUCUUACUCGAAGAUUUUUAUCGCUUGAACUUUCAUCUCAAUAGCAAUUCAUGUGUUCUUAUUAUUUCCCUUUUCAGUCAGUUUAGAGUCAUCCACAUGUCCACUAUCGAAUUCAAAACUAUAAUAGAAUCCAAAGGUGUACCAUACACAAGAUUUGUUUCCUAUGUAUCAAAAAUACAAAUGUUUGCCUCCCAAUAAAUUUAACACCUAAAAGCAUCAGCACUAUUCAGGUUUUUAUUAAUGAUUCAGCCCCAUCAUAGAGAUCGAUUGGGAAUACAUGUGAUGAUUAAAACAGAUGGCUCUCCAACUGAUGUAAGUUAUUCUUUUCCAUCAGAAGCUUUUUAUUUUUGUUUACUUCACUUUGAUUUUUUGUUGAUUCUUUUCCUUUUUAAAACCUUGUUGAGCAGUGUGGAAUGUCUAUUGCUCAAGAAAGUUGAUUGCUUAAUAUAUGUUAGCAGGAUGUCAUCACCUUUGGAGAUAAAGGGUCCAAGAAAUACAACCUCACUUUCUCAAUCAGGUAGCCAACACCUUGAUAAGAGUUACAUCAAGCUUCAAAUUUAAAGAAAGUGAAAACAACUUAAAUUGCCUGAUUCCAUUAUUGACGUCAUGUUGUACCACAUUGAUUUCAAGUUUGAUGCGACUGCAUUAUUACAUCAGUUUUUUUUUCAUAUUCAAAGAUCCAGAAUAUUACAUUAGUUUUUUGGUUUUGAUAUGCAGAGAACUUUGAGGAUUAUGAAGUUUCCUUCAAAUUAUGUCCGUUACUCAACCUCGAGUGGCACCUUACAGCUAGUGGGAAGUCAAGAAAGUAUAUCCUGCUCGGAAUGAAGUCAAGGUUAGAUAAUUAAAUAAUGAUUUACUGGUGUUUCAGUUACUAAGAUGCUUAUUUUGUAGUAAUAGUUUGCACUCUCAUAAAUCAGCGAAAUAGAUUUCCUUCAUUGGCACUCUCAUCAGUCAUCAAUCAGCGAAACAGAGAAAUCAACGGUUUCAAAAUUCUCUGGAACCCAUUUCAAGCUUCACGCCUUCAAUUCUAAUGACACCCAAGACACAGAAGACAUCAACAUAGUAGAAGAAUUCAACCCAAUACCCAUUUCAACCCAAGUUUUCGAUUCCUGCUUCACCUGAUGAGAAGAAGUUUAUGGGUGAGAAAGUUACAAAGCUGAAAAUAUCUUCUUCUAUCUUUUGUUUUACACAUCUUCUGAUUGAGUUAUAAUACAUGCCUCGCUUCUAUACAAGAUGAGAAACCAUAAAAUGCCUUUAUGAAGUGUUUGCGAAGUUGAUGUCACCUAAUUCAGAUUUCACUGAAUUAAUUUUUGAACCAAAUUAAUGCAUAUGUUUGCUCUAACGUUGAAAAGGAAAAACGUUGAAUGAUAUGGAUAUUUUCCUUUUAAGAAUACAAAGUCGCGAUAAAGGUAGAAAAUUUAGAUGGUAUUAAUUUUGAUAUGGAUCACCGUUGAGAACUUUGCCUGAGGUAUUAAAUUCUAUUUUCCCUCUUUAGAAAUGUUUCAUGUAGCUCCUAAUUGUGAUGCUUCAUUUACAUAUUUUUAAAAUUUGAUCAUAUAACAGGGAUAGAGUGUGUCCGAGUCAAUUUGAUGUUACAGACUUGCAGCUAACUGUUGUGCGUUAUAUAAUUGCAUAUUUCUUAGACACCAGAUAUGACCAAGUUCCAUCUACAAUGUUAACAGAAUCUUUGAUAGGUAAAGGAGGCAGACAAAAAAGCUAAACAUCUUUUUUCUUCCGUAUAGCUCCCAGGCAACUACACAAGGCAAUGCUUGAUAUAAGGGCUUUAGAUAUACAUUUGCAGGGUGUUUAUCGUAUGAGUAAGGAAAUCACUGUCUUCGCUCCCAGCAGACAGUGAUUGGAAGAUCCAUCCUCGCAUCACUUAGCACCUUCCAGCAGGCAAGCCUUUUUUUAAAAAAAUCUUCUCUUGCAUAUACUUUUGCAAUUUUAAACUUCAUUUUGAAUUGUGUUGUUGCUAACUUAAACAUGUUUGUGCUUAAUCAGAUGUGGAUUUUGAAGGGCUGUUGACACCCAAUUUUGACCCUCCCUGAUAAUAAUUAAUUUUCGAGCUUUUUAAAUUUCAAACAAUUUAAAAUAAUUAGCCUUGUAAAAUCCAAUUGGUUUCAAGAUUAUUUUAAGUAAUUUUCGUAGAUUUCUAUAGUAGUUUGAAUAAUAAAUAUAUUUUACAUAAUUAUUUAUGUAUUUAGUAUAUUUUAUAAAUGGUUGAAAUCCAUAUCAAAUGAUUUUUACAGUGUUAAAAUAAGUAGUUUAUUAAUUUGGUUUUAGUGUGAGUUAUAGUUUGAAUUUUGAACUAAUUAGUUUAUAUUUAAAUCAAUUACUUUGUAAUCAAGUUAGUUAUUUUAUUUUGUAUAGAUUAAGAAGCUCAUUAAUUAAUUUAUAUAAUUUCAUCUUGUCGAGCUUUUGGCCGAAUUCACAAAUCAAUUUCCAACCGGUUAAAUUUUCAACCUCAAUUGAUCAUAAUUUUAAUCGUAAUCCCUUUUUUUUUUAUUUCUAAGCUUGGUUCUUUUAUUUUUGCAAUCCAGCAGCCCAAACACUUAAAAAACAACCCAUCCCAAACACCAAUUUUCAGCUUCAAUUCCCAACCCAAUAAUUCCUGUGACCAAGCCCAAUUUCCCCUUUAACCCGGCCCACCCCAAUUCUAAAAGAAAUCAAUACAAUCCAAUGUUCCCUUUUUUUUCCUCUGUCAACGCAUCAAAUUCACGGCAACAACGACAAUCCCAAGCGGCGUGAGCAACAAUUCCUAAACGACACCAACAACAGCGUACAAACGACGCCCUAAAGUCCAUCAACUCACGGCGAUUCACGGAAAGCUCACGGCGCGAGAAAACGCGUGCCUAGUACAACAACAUACUGCUAUCCGUCGCCCUCUUCGCUGCAACAGUGCAGUUGCAGCAGCUGCUGUAACAGCGCAGGGUGUCCUUGAGGACGUAGGAUCGAGACACGUAGCAUCUCAAGGACAUCAAAUUGAUUGAAGUCGUCCAUCGCCCUUUCUCCUUCCGGAAUGAGACGAAUUUUCAAAGAAAAGGUGUCGUCCCAAAACGGGAAAAGAAUUUUUUGAAUUUGGAAUGGGCCUCGUUUCACCCGUUCUUUGCCCUAAUUUGAGGGAUAAAUAGUUCCGGAUCCUUCAGGUUUUAGGCAGGAUUUUCAGUUGCUGGAAAGGAAGAUAUAUAAACAUAAGAAUACAUAUAUAAAUGGAGAGCGAUAUUUAGGCAAAAGUCGACAAGAAAUUUGAUUCUUGUGUUCGCCUCUUGCAAGGCUCGUCGGAAUCUCGUUGUGGUAUUGGAGUUGCUGUUUCUCUGCUCGUGGUUCUCGGUUUCGCUGCACCCUUGAAGGUAACACUCAUCUCUCUUCAAGCAUAUCUUGCUCAUAAUGUGUCGUCGCUUGAUUCUUAAUGCGUGAGCCGUCUGCGUGAUAAUGUUUGGAGAAUACUUCGACUCAUUGCUUAUCAUAAAUCAGUAUGUAGCUGGUUUGUCUGCUUCUGGACACUGAUAAGAGUUGAGUUUUUCCGCCUCAUUUGUCUAUUGCUGCAUCUGUUGAUUUAUGUUGGUUAUAUUGUGACCUGGACUUUUGCAAAUGUAUUGGAAUAUUGGGUUUUUAUUGUUAUUACUCUUAUUGUCCUAGUUUUUCUAUAACACCUCUAUGAUCGGUUUCAAAAUUCCUAUUAAUCUUAUUCUGUGUCUAUUUGUUGUAAAUAUGCUUAUGGCUCAGGUUCUAGUGGCAAAUCGUAAUGUAUGCUUCAUGUUUAUUUGGAUUUGUUCACUUCGAUUUAAUAAUGAAACUUGUCAAAAAUCGGUGCUUACCUUAGCCCAUAGGUUGUUAUCUCCGAUAAUCUUAUGUUGCUAUUCAGGGGUCAAGCGUGUCGAAUUAUUAGCAGUCUAUCUAGCUAACGGUGUUCAUCAUAAGUAGCGGUUAUAUUCUUCUCAGAUAGUAGCUUAAGCUUUAACUGAUUUUUACUACUUUAGCAUGAUAUAACUCACCAAAUAUUUGAGGAAUCAGAUUAUUUCCCUUGGAUUUUCACUGAUGGUUGGCCCGUACUUGAGUUACUGUAAGUAGAACAUUUGGUCACGACUCGUUAGCUUAUCCACCAUAUAUUUAAUUCUUCCUGCAAAUAUUCAAAUGCUUGUCCUAUAUAAAAAAAUAAUAAUAUAUAUAUAUAUAUAUAUAUUAAUUUCUAUCCAUUAGUUUAUAGUGUUAUUUCCAGUGAAGUCCUUGAAUAUGCAUUUUAGUUGUUUGUGCUAGUAGCUGUUCAAUUAAAUAAUCUUUUUAUGUCUCAUAGUUUGAUGAAUCCAUGGCUGUUUACUGCUUCUUCGUUAGUAAAAUCGCUUAAUGAUGAUCAUGAAUUACUCAUGUUAAUUCUUUCCUUCCACUUUCCUUACAUGUGAUGCUUCGCCGAGUCUAUUUGGACUUUUCCCAUUGCCUCUUUGCAUUUUCGAGUAUCGAGUCAGCCCUCCGAUGUUCAAGAGUGAAAUGGAAUUGGCGUACAGGUGUUUGGAGCUGAUAUACGGGAUUGUAUACAUUAGUAUACACCUAGUGUAUACGAAAAAAUGAAAAAUGGGCAUAAAGUAGCCUUAAAUUUUCAGCUUUUGUAUUUUUGUAAUUAUUGGACUAAAAGCCCAUUUAUUUUGAUUAUUAUUGUGUUAGUUUAGGACAGGUACCAAGUGUUGGGCCAAAAGCCCCAAAAGCAGAAAUCAGGCCCAAGUAUUGGUCCAGGCGAACAAAAAAAAAAAAAAAAUCCAAACUUGGGCCCAACUCUCUUUCCCUCUUUACUUUAUUGUGUUCAUUUACUUACUAGUAUUUGUCGUUAGUCUUAAGGUCGAAAAAUUCAAAUCCCCGAAAAACGUCUAUUUUGAUUUAAUAAUUUAACUAAACCAGUCAUCUCUUAAACAAGACUUAAAGGAAUAAUUUUGCAGGAUAGCUCACUUAGACAAUAUUUAAAUAUUUCCUCUUUUCCCCCUUUAAAAAUAAGUUUUAACUAUAAAAUAGAUCAAUUUCGCAAGUCAAGCUAAGUUAAAAUUAUUUUAGUCAAGUAGUUAAUCGUCGGAUAACCACAUUAGUGGAUAUUUUAGGUGUCUUUAAAACCAUCCUAGAAUAUUAAUAAGAACCUCGAACCCCCCUUUUAAAAUUUUCAUUAGAUUCCAUGUUUUAAUCUUUUGAAAAAAUAGUUUUCUUGAUUUUUCUUAAAAAUUAAGUGGCGACUCUAAACCAGUCCAAAAUAAUAUUUUCUUAAAUAAAACAAGGGCGAGUACGACAAAUCUGGUCCAUCCAUUGUCCACAAGAAGUGCUUCUAAGGUGUUGCUGCUAUUUUUACAUUUGUUCGCGAGUUCUUUUUUAUUUUUUUUGUUCUUUCUGCUAAAGCUAUUAUGUCAUCCACAGUGAACUCAGGUCUGCUGUUAUAGGCAAGUCAUCGAGAUGGGGCUAUCAAAGAAGGGUGAUUAAAAACAUUGUACCGCUGAUACUAUUUCAUGUUUCCAGUGCAAGCCUCUUUUGUAAGUUGACAAACUCGAUUUGUAAAUAUGUUUGGGACUCAACUAGUGGUUAGAGUAUUGAUUUUGUAAGAUUUUUGUCCAGAAAAUCAAAUUAGAAAGAUUACUCGCGAUGAUUGAAUAAGCUCGAAGAAGUGGAUUUGAAUUUCAAUUCGUGUCUUUUUUUUAUGUGUGUGUGUGUGUGAGAAAUUUGAAGUGUUGUUUAGAUUUGUUGGAAUAGUCAAAAGACUAUAAAAUUUGAAGACAUUUGAUGGAGAUCUGAUUAGAUGAUUUUGAACAACAAUUGCAACUGAAGAUGGAUAUGUAUAUUAUUUUCGUAGUUAGCAACGUGUUAUAUAUUUUUAUAGUGGAUAUAUUGUUUUCUCAUUCGGUGAUGGGCAUCCACAUUGGAGUCCGACUAAAUUCGGAUUUGCACAUUUCGACAGGCGGCGCUCUUGACAUGAUUUUUUCCAUUCCACGGCUUAUGCUCCUAAAUUCUAAUUAAGGGUAGAAAAAUCUCAACUAUUUCACCACAACUCAUAUCCGUUAUAUUGGAUAUACAAGUGUAAACUAAAAAAUAUAACUAUGUAGGUGCAAGUAUUUUUGAAAAAAACCCAAAUAACUAGCCAAUAUAAAGAAAGAAUACUAAAUCCUACACUCCUAUGCACAUUCUACUGCAAAACACAAGUAGAAAAACUUCAAAUUUCGGCCAUGAAAUGACACCAUUUUCUCACACUCAAAAUGAUGUUAAAUUUCAUGAAUGAAACAAUACAUAUUACUUAGGUUGAAGCCCCAUUUUCUUCCUCGUUUUCCCACAGUAUAAAUCCUUAGACUUGAUCAUCCCAGGGACUAAUCCAACGAUCGUUGUGAACGAAAAUUGAGCCACUGCAUCUUGCCUUCCUAACUAAACGAUGAUCUUAGGCGAUGAUCGAGGCCCAUAUAUUGCAAGUUCGCAUUCUUUUCCUCCGCUCAUCAAAAGUCUCAAGUUCUUCGCGGCCACUAGAGCAUGUUUUUGAGCUGAAUAUCCUUGUUUAAGUUCCUGGUAAUGAAGAAGCAUUAGAAUUCAAUUGAAUAAUCCUAAGAACAUACACUGUAUAGUUCCACAAGUGGAGUCUAGGGAGGAUAGAGUUUACACUAACAUUACCCCCUACCUUGUCAGGUAAUAAUUCAAAUGAAUAAUAGAUUCGAAAAAUGCAAGUACUAGCUAGCUGCUUCAGGUCCUCUGGCUACUGCUAUAUUAUCAAAAAGAAUCAAGAUGCCUUUUAAAUCGACAACAUAUCCAAUGUAAUCCACAAGUGGAGUCUAGGGAGGGUUAUGUGUAAGCAGACCUUACCCCUAUCGUAAGGAAGAAAGUUUGUUUCCGAUACUAGGUUGUAGUUUCUCUGUUGCAACAAAACUAAAAAAUCACCACCCUUCACAUUUGGUCGAACAAUGCAGACUAAUAUCAAUCCAUGUCAUUUCAUGAAUAAGAUGUGAUCAAUUAACCAACCAAUUCCUAGCCAAUGAUGCUCUCUUCUAGCUUUACCUACAUGGCGAGGGAAAAAUCAAAGGCGAGGUGGAAAAUGGCCUGCUACAUCAAGAAAUAGAACUGACUAAUCCUAACUCCUAAGUCAGAGGGUCGAGAAACUCAAUACCACUAUUCUCAAACAACUUGGAGCAGGGCCUUCGUUCUGCACUAUUACUGAUAUGAAAAUAAUGGUCAAAAUCAGAUUAAAUUGUCAAUUGCCUCCAUUGGAAAUAUAGAAUUGACUAUUGACUUUGAAGGAACUGGAGUUACAUCUUCUUUUCCAUUCAAGAGAUUUUAUGCGUUUUCACGAUCUUUUAAGACCGUGAAAAAUGGACAAAUUUAUUUUCUUAGAAACACAUACAAGAUUCGUCACUACAAAAAGCAUAUAUUUUCAAGAAAUAAGAGAUAUGCAGUUUAGUGCUUACCUUAAUAUCAGUUAUAUCUCCAACAGCAAAUAUGUUUCUAUGACCCUUGAUUCUAAGAUUUUCAUCAACCUUCAAUCUUCCAAAAUUACGAUUCGAUCCUUCAAAUACGUCUCCCUUAACUACUCUGAACCCGGUGGCUUCCCCGUGCUAAGAAAAUGGCCAUCCUCUCUGAUAGUUUCCCCAGACGAGGUGAAAUAUGUUCUGUUUCCAACCGAGCUGUACAUGUUAUUACUCAUAUCGACAGAUUGCAUCAAUUUCACUUCCAUAUUCUUGUUUUUAACCAUUCUAAAUUCUAGUAGUCUAGAUCCAUCUUGCACCAAAGUUACCUUCUUCUGAGGAAAAUCGACAGUGAUUUCUGCAGCAAGUUUAACACUAGUAGGCCACCACCAACAAUCAAUACUGCUUUUAUCUUUUCAUUCUCUGCAACAAAGAACCUCGCAACAUUUUGACUAGUACAUCUCAACAUUCAUCACAAGACAAUUGACUGAAUCCCGUGAAAACUUGCUAGAGGAGCCGGUUUACAAAUAAAUAAUCUCCGCCUAAUGGAUACAGAACACCCAUGCUUUAGCUUUGUUUUAUCAUUUCCCGUAAAGGACAUCAAAAACAGCCUAGCCUCUCGCCAUUUUGACUUGUAAUAUACAACCUGACAAGACAAUCGCAAAAGAAAAGAUCUAAUCACUAGUAUGUCUCGACGUACAACAUAUCCAAUGUAAUCCCACAAGUGGUAUUUGGGGAGGGUAAGAUGUACACAUACUUUACCUCUACCUUUGCGGGGUAGGGAGGUUGCUUCCUGUAGACCCUCGGCUCAAAAGAAAUGAAGAAAUAAUAGCAUCGUGCAAGAAUAUAUGAUAAACAAAAUUACAUUAUACAAAGCAAAUGAAGCAACAUAUAGUAAUAUACACUGGAAAAAAAGGAAGCUACGCAAUUACUAAAUAUUAAUACUAGUACAUCUCGAACUCUUUGUGAAAUAGUAGAGCAGUCAUGAUCAAGACAAUUGGCUGAAUCAAAUUAAAUAAAACCUGACAGAAGAGCCGGUUUACACAUAAAGAAUCUUUUCUCAACAGAUACAAAACACUAAUGCUUUAGCUUCUUUUUAUCAUUUUCCAAAAAAGUUGACACGAUUAUUUGAUUUCAACAAAACUUUCCACGAUAAACGUACAAGUAAUUUGCUCGUUGAAAAGCAGACAAUAUGGUAAAUCUAACGAAUUAAGCACAACUAUCUAAACCAACUUCAACUCACCACACUAAAUUUUAAACUAAAAAAAAAUAUUCUCUUUAUAUUCUUCUUAUAAUGGUAUAUUAAAUUAUAAUUUAUAGUAAAGGUAUAUUAAAUUACAUUUUAUAAAAUUAUAAUGUAAUGUUAUUUAUUAAUAAUGUAUUAUAUUUGCAUUUUAAUAACGGUAUAUUUUCUCUACCUAGCUCAUGAUUUUUGUUGUUUCAACUUUUCCAGUGACUUCAUUUAGAGUUGCACCCUUGUGCUUUGAUAAAAUGCAGAAUCUUAUGUAUAAAAAAAUACAAGAGGUCAUUUCUAGAUAAUUUAACAUCUAAUGAUCUAAUAAAGCAUCUUGUUUCAGUUGGUGAAAGUUUAUAUCCAAUAAAAAUAUGUCAAUUUGGUGGUAUGUCAGUCCCCACCAAAGACUAAACUAUAGGGUCUCAACUCAUUACUCAUGGUGGCAUGUAUCUAUUGAUUUAUUGUAAAAAAAAAUACGAAUGUGUCUUCAUCCCAUCUGAAUUUGCUUGGUAAUAAUUUACUAUAUAUGAGGUGUUUUAGUUCGCACUAUCGAGAGGACUUUAUUACAAUUUUCAACCAAGAGAAAAUUUUAUCUCUGAUCUUGUAUAUAAGAAAACAACUACAAGGGAAAACUUUUAUCAUUUUACCAAAGCUCUUGGUGUUAUCGAAUUUCCAACUUCUUGACGUGUUUUCAAGUAUAAUAAAUUUAUGAUAGUAUAGAAAGAAAGAAAUGAAAAUAAAACAUUAUUGUUGGGUGAAAAGUGAUACUCAUGGAAAGGACACAGGGGCGGCUCAACGUAACUGGAGGCCUAAAGCGAAAUUUUAUUUGAGGCCUAAAAAAAAUCAUACAUAUUUAUUUAAAAAUUAUUUUUCUAAUUGUUUAGAUGCACAUUAUUACUUCAACUUUUUAAUAGAUGAUUUAUUUGAGUACUUUUUUAAAAAAAAUUAAUUAAUUUUAGGUAAGAUUUUAUCAAUUCAAUGCUGAAAAAUAUCCUUUUACUAAAGCAAUCAUUAUAUGAAUUGUUAACAUAAUUCUCUAAGGAAUAAGUUGACAAACUUUAAGCAAAAUAAGAGUUAGAACCAUAGAAUCUGAUUCAAGACGUUGAUAACUUGAUAUACCUAACUUUGAUUGAAAAUUUAAGUUAAAAAAAAAUUGCGAUUCACUUUGUUCAACAUUGUUCGACUAAUGAUUCAGAUUUAUGAUAGAGUAUUACUUUAACUUAUCAAAGAUUUGUAGAAAAAGAGUGAAAAAGGAGUUUUAAAAUAAAUAAAUAAUGUGAAUAUUAGUUAGCAAAGAAAUGUAAUAAGACAAAACAACGUUNNNNNNNNNNNNNNNNNNNNNNNNNNNNNNNNNNNNNNNNNNNNNNNNNNNNNNNNNNNNNNNNNNNNNNNNNNNNNNNNNNNNNNNNNNNNNNNNNNNNNNNNNNNNNNNNNNNNNNNNNNNNNNNNNNNNNNNNNNNNUGUCCGCAUCCCCCACCCACCCCACCCAAAAUAAAUAAAAUAUCCUUCCUCUUUUGCCUCAAUUUUUCAAUUAUUCAAUUGAGAUAAAAGACUCUUGUUAUUAGGUGAAAAGUGAUGCUCAUGGAAAAGAUAAAAAAGGACAAUUUAAAUUACUUAUUAUUUUUUCCCUAUAGCUAUUAGUCGUGGGAAAAGGCAUCAAUUCCUCUUUAAAUUUGUCCCGAAAAGUCAGUUACAUGCUUAAACUAUUAUAGUGAUCUAUUACACACUUAUACUACUCAAAAGUAAAUUUUCUUACCCCUUAAAACUGACGUGGCAAAAAAAUAAAACAAAAAUAAAAAAUACGCGCGUCAGUUUGAAAUUAAAGUGAUAAAAAAAAGUUAGAAUCUUCUUUUCCACCCCACCCCAUACCUCUUCUUCUUCACACCCCACCCCUUGUCCUCUUCUUCUUCAUUCUUUAUUUUCAUCACACUUCUUUAUUUUUUUUAUCACAAUCUUAAAGCACAAUUUUGUUUUAUUCGCAAUAAGGUUAAUUCUCAUAGAUUUGUUAGUUUAUAAUUGUAUUUUAUCUAGAGAAGUUUCGGUUGAUUGUUUCUAUCUUUGUCAUUUUUUUGACUUUGUUAAAGAAAUUUUUGUUGUUGAUCAAUUUUUGGGUUUAGUGGUGAUAGCAACUUUAUGGGUUUGGUGGUGAUGGUGGUGGGUGAUAAAAAAUUAAAAGAGGUAAUUGAAGAUGGUGAUGAAGAAAAAAUCGAUAUUAAUAAUGGUGGUGGUGAUAUUUGGUGAUGGGUGACAAAGAAGAAGAAGAAUUGAAGGUGAUAUAGUGGUGGUGAAGAACAAAAUCAAUAGUGAAAGGUGGUUGGAUAUGAUUUUUCCGAUGAAAUGAGAAUUGAAAUUGGUGGGAUUUAGUGAUGAAGAAGAUAUAAUUAUUAGAGAAUUAAAGUAAUUAAUAAGAGUAAAAUAUAGUUAACAAAAGAAAAGUUAAUUAAUAAAGAAAAGAAAAUAAAAAAUUAUAAUUUAUGACAUGGCGCUGAUGUAGCGGUGAUGUGGCAACGAGUGUAAUGCACCACAUAAUGUAAGAGUGGUAUUACACGUUUUAGGGUGGUAAUAAAUUCACUUUUGAGUAUUAAAGGUGUGUAAUAGGUCACUAUAAUAGUUUAAGCGGGUAACCGGGACAAGUUCAAGGGGAAUCUAUGACUUUUCCCAUCAGAUGUUGACCAUACAAAACUAUUAUCUUCUCAAAAUCAUUUUGUGUGUUUCCUUGUUUUGCUUUGCAGAUUUCAGAAAUGGAGAUUGUCUUAGCAGUUGGUGGUGCAUUUCUCUCUUCAGCUUUGAAUGUUCUCUUUGAUAGGCUUGCUCCUCACGGUGAUCUGCUCAACAUGUUUCGGAAGCAUAAGGAUCAUGUUAAGCUCUUAAAGAAGCUGGAGGACAUUUUGCUUGGUCUUCAGAUUGUGCUAAGUGAUGCAGAGAAUAAGCAAGCAUCAAAUCGACACGUGAGCCAGUGGUUUAAUAAGCUUCAGAGUGCUGUGAACGGCGCUGAAAACUUGAUAGAAGAAGUCAAUUAUGAAGCUCUGAGGCUUAAGGUGGAAGGUCGGCAUCAAGAUCUCGCAGAAACAAUCAACAAGCAAGUAAGUGACCUUAACCUGAGCUUGAGUGAUGACUUCUUUCUAAACAUAAAGGUCAAGUUGGAAUACAUCAUGGAAACAUUGGAGGAUUUGGAAAAGCAAAUUGGCCGCCUUGGCUUAAAGGGGCAUUUUGGUUCGACGAAACAAGAAACAAGAACACCUUCAACUUCUUUGGUUGAUGAAUCUGAUAUCUUUGGUAGGCAGAGUGAAAUAAAGGAUUUGAUUGACCGUUUAUUGUCUGAAGAUGCAAGUGGGAAAAAGAUGACAGUAGUUCCUAUUGUUGGAAUGGGUGGCCUGGGUAAGACAACACUUGCUAAAGCCGUUUACAAUGAUGAGAGGGUGAAGAACCAUUUUGGUUUGAAAGCUUGGUAUUGUGUUUCUCAGGGAUAUGAUGCUUUGAGAAUAACGAAAGGGUUACUUCAAGAAAUUGGCAAAUUUAACUCAAAGGAUGUCCACAACAAUCUUAAUCAGCUUCAAGUCAAAUUGAAGGAAAGCUUGAAGGAAAAGAAGUUUUUUAUUGUUUUGGAUGAUGUGUGGAAUGACAACUACAACGAGUGGGAUGACUUGAGAAAUAUUUUUGUACAAGGAGAUAUAGGAAGUAAGAUCAUUGUGACGACACGCAAAGAGAGUGUUGCCUUGAUGAUGGGAAAUGAGCAAAUUAGCAUGGACAAUUUGUCAACUGAAGCCUCUUGGUCUUUAUUUAAAAGACAUGCAUUUGAAAACAUGGAUCCUAUGGAACAUCCGGAACUUGAAGAGGUCGGAAAACAAAUUGCAGCUAAGUGCAAAGGACUGCCCUUAGCUCUGAAGACGCUGGCUGGCAUGUUACGCUCCAAAUCAGAGGUUGAAGAGUGGAAACGUAUUUUGAGAAGUGAAAUAUGGGAGCUGCCAGACAAUGACAUAUUACCAGCGUUGAUGUUGAGCUACAAGGAUCUUCCGGCACAUUUAAAGCUAUGUUUUUCCUAUUGUGCAAUAUUUCCUAAAGAUUAUCCAUUUAGUAAAGAACAAGUCAUUCAUCUGUGGAUUGCCAAUGGUCUCGUACCAAAGGAUGAUGAGAGAAUUCAAGAUCCAGGCAACCAAUACUUUCUCGAAUUGAGAUCAAGAUCAUUAUUCGAAAGGGUCCCAAAUCCUUCUGAAGGGAACAUAGAGAAAUUCUUAAUGCAUGACCUUGUCAACGAUUUAGCCCAAAUUGCAUCUUCAAAACUUUGUAUCAGGUUGGAAGAGAGCCAAGGAUCUCAUAUGUUAGAAAAAAGUCAACACUUAUCAUAUUCAAUGGGAUAUGAUGGUGAGUUUGAGAAAUUGACACCCCUCUACAAAUUGGAGCAGCUGAGGACGUUGCUUCCGAUAUGUACUGAUGUCAGUUAUUACUCUCUGAGCAAGAGGGUGCAGCAUAACAUACUGCCAAGACUAAGAUCCUUGAGNNNNNNNNNNNNNNNNNNNNNNNNNNNNNNNNNNNNNNNNNNNNNNNNNNNNNNNNNNNNNNNNNNNNNNNNNNNNNNNNNNNNNNNNNNNNNNCAUUACCAGAUUAAGGAGUUGCCAAAUGACUUGUUUAUCAAAUUAAAGCUCCUCAGAUUUUUGGACCUUUCUCUGACAUAUAUUGAAAAGUUGCCUGAUUCUGUUUGUGGAUUGUAUAACUUGGAGACACUUCUCCUGUCAUCUUGUUAUAAUCUUGAGGAGCUACCGCUGCAGAUGGAGAAGUUGAUUAACUUGCAUCACCUUGACAUAAGCAACAGUUUUCGCUUGAAGAUGCCGCUACAUCUAAGCAAGUUGAAAAGCCUCCAAGUGCUAGUGGGAGCCAAGUUUCUUCUAAGUGGUUGGAGGAUGGAAGAUUUGGGUGAAGUACAUAACUUGCACGGAUCUCUAUCAGUUGUAGAGUUGCAAAAUGUGGUUGAUAGUAGGGAAGCUGUGAAGGCAAAGAUGAGGGAGAAAAAUCAUGUUGACAAGUUAUCUUUGGAGUGGGUUGGAAGUAGUAGUGCCGACAAGUCACAAACUGAAAGAGACAUACUUGAUGAGCUACGCCCACAUAAAAACAUAAAAGAAGUCAAGAUCACCGGAUAUAGAGGGACAACAUUUCCAAAUUGGCUAGCUGAUCCUUUGUUUCUUAAGCUGGUGAAAUUGUCUCUUAGCAACUGCAAGGACUGUUAUUCCUUGCCAGCACUAGGAGAACUCCCUUGUUUGAAAUUCCUUUCGAUUAGAGGGAUGCAUGGAAUAACAGAGGUGACGGAAGAAUUCUAUGGCAGUUUGUCCUCCAAAAAGCCUUUUAACUGUCUUGAGGACCUUGAAUUUGAAGAUAUUCCGGAGUGGAAGCAAUGGCACGUACUAGGAAAUGGAGAGUUCCCUACACUUGAGAAGCUUUUCAUUAUAAAUUGCCCAGAACUCAGUUUGGAGACACCCAUCCAACUUUCAUGUUUAAAAAGGUUUCAUGUUGUUGGUUGUUCUAAGGUUGGAGUUGUUUUUGAUGAUGCUCAACUGUUUAUAUCCCAACUUGAGGGAAUGAAACAGAUUGUUGAACUAUUUAUUAGUGAUUGUAACUCUGUUACCUCCUUUCCUUUUAGCAUACUGCCCACUACCUUGAAGAUAAUAUGCAUAUCUCGUUGCAAGAAAUUGAAAUUGGAGAUGCCAGUUGGCGAGAUGAGUUAUUGUAACAUGUUUCUCGAUUAUUUGAGCGUGGCAGAAUGUGAUUAUAUAUCACCUGAGUUGUGCCAAAGAGCACGCCAAUUGAGAGUACAGGAUUGCCACAACCUUACUAGGUUUUUGAUUCCUACUGCGACUGAAACUCUCUAUAUUCGGGGAUGUGAGAAUGUUGAAAAACUUUCGGUGGCAUGUGGGGGGACCCAGAUGACGUCACUGAUUAUUGAUGGCUGUAAGAAGCUGAAGUGGCUGCCAAAACGUAUGCAGGAACUCCUUCCAUCUCUUAAGCAACUGCAACUGAUUGAUUGUCCAGAAAUAGAGUCCUUUCCUCAAGGAGGAUUGCCCUUCAAUUUACAACGACUUUGGAUCAGAAAUUCCAAGAAACUGGUGAACAGACGAAAGGAGUGGUGUUUGCAGAGACUCCCCUGUCUCAACUUGUUAGAGAUCUCUCAUGAUGGCAGUGACGAAGAGAUUGUUGGUGGUGAGAAUUGGGAGUUGCCUUCCUCUAUUCAAAAACUUACAAUAAACAAUGUGAAAACAUUAAGCAGCCAACAUCUCAAAAGCCUCACCUCUCUUCAAUAUCUAUGUAUUGAGGGUAAUUUUCCUCAAAUUCAGUCAAUGCUGGAAGAAGAGCUUCCCUCCUCUCUUUCUCACCUCACUUCGCUUCAAAGUCUACACAUCGGGAAUUUCCCUAAUCUCCAAUCACUUUCUGAAUCAGCACUGCCCUCCUCCCUCUCUCAGCUGACCAUAGAUGAUUGCCCUAAUCUCCAAUCACUUUCCGAAUCAGCACUGCCCUCCUCCCUCUCUCAGCUGGAGAUCUCCCAUUGUCCUAAUCUCCAAUCCCUUCCGGUAAAAGGGAUGCCCUCUUCCCUCUCUCAACUAAGUAUUUACAACUGCCCAUUGCUCACACCGUUACUAGAAUUUGACAAGGGGGAAUACUGGCUAAAUAUUGCUCAAAUUUCCACCAUAGUGAUCGAUGAGGAAUCCCUGUGAUGAUUAAAACGAAUGGCUCUCCAACUGAUGUAAGUUAUUCUUUUCCAUCAUAAGCUUUUUACUUUUGUUUACUUCACUUUGCAUUUUUGUUAAUCCUUUUCCUUUUUUAAACCUUUUUGAGCAGUGUGGAAUGUCUAUUGCUCAAACCACGGCUGCCGACCAAAAACUGCUCAUAUUUCCACCAUAAAUGUUCAUUGGGAGAACCUCUAAUGAUUCAAACAUGUGGUGCUCCAAUAGAUGUAAGUUCCUUAGUAUCUUUUGAUUUUUGGUUACUUCUCUUUGCUUGUUUCUUAAUUCUUUUUCUACAUUAUAGGAUAAAGACAUGUUUUACUCCUCUCGAUAUGCAGAUAUGUUGCAGAGAUGAAGUCUCUGUGAGAGUGGUAAGAUAUCAUUUAAAGCAUAUGGCAAUCUAGCUCAGCAAGAGAUACAUGCUAAAGUAUAUCCUGUUUGGGAUGAAUUCAACGUGAGAUAACAAAAUAAUGAUUUACUCGUGUUUCAGUUACCAAGAUGCUUAUUUUGUUGUAAUACUUUGCACUCUCAUAAAUCAGUGAAAUAGGUUUCCUUCAUUGGCACCCUCAUCAGUCAUCAGUCUGCGAAACAGAGAAAUCAACGGUUUCAAAAUUCUUUAGAACCCAUUUCGAGCUUCAUACCUUCAAUUCUGAUGACACCCAAGACACAAAAGACAUCAACAUAGUAGAAGAAUUUAACCCAACACCCAUUUCAACCCAAGUUUUUGAUUCCUGCUUCACCUGAUGGGAAGAAGUUUACGUGUGAGAAAGGUCUAUAGGUACAAAUAUUUUUUCUUCUCCCUUUCUUACUGCGGCGCUUAUAUUGGUUUUGCCCCACUUUGCAUCAUAAUGAUGUUGGAGUGUAUCGGUUUUCUACUGGUAUUCAGAUACUUAAAAUGGGAAAUUGCUUUUGAAAAUAUCAUUUUCAUUGUUCGAAUGUUUUUUAAAUCAUCUGUUGAUCCAAAAUUUUCAUUUUUCUGUUGAUCUUCUUCUAUAUUUAGUUUUACAUGUCUUCUGAUUGAGUUAUAAUACAUGCCUUGAUUCUAUAGAAGAUGAUAAAUUGUCAAAUCCUUCCAGUGCGUUGAUCGUAGAUAAGACACUCAGAAGAAGAAAAGAUGACACGAAGAUGGUUAGCUGCAAGGUAACCGACAGAAAUUUCUUUAUAGGAGGAAAAUGGAAUCGAAGAAUCCGGGAUGACAUAGACCCACAGUGUGAAAGAGGUAAGAGAGUUUCAUCUACAGUGUAAACAGAAACUUUGAUAGGUAAAGGAGGCAGACAAAAAAGCUAAACAUCUUUUUAUAUGCAAUAGCAAUUCAUAGAAGUAUCAAUAAGCUUACAAUCCAUCAUAUAUUUCUUCUAAGUACAUAAGAUGUAAUGUCUGUGGCAAGUAACUUUUAAGGAGAUUCUAGUGCUUUUACCAAGGAUAACAUCAAUAUUUUGAUCCAUUGUGAAGGCGUAAUUCUGUUUCCAGCAGGAUUAUAUUAGUUUCUUUUCUAAUUAAGAAAUAACAAUGUCUUCAAUGCAUUGUCAAGAUUCAGUCUACUUUCUAGCAGCAAUUAACAUGAAUCGUACAUCCGUUCCAAAUGUCAUUAUAAAAAGGAAAAAAAAACUGCUGACACUACACUUCAUCUCAAUUCUCAUUAGGAUAGUUGAAGUAUGAAUUAUUCUUAUGUAUUUACAUUUAUCUGCAGGAUUAUCUUAUGUGAAUGUGUUUCUGAGUAAGGAUAUGAGUGAAAUAGCCCAAAAACCUAUAUAAACCCCUUUGGAAGACUACAACUUGCAUAACUCAACACUCUCUCACAUGUGUAACCAGAUUUUGAGGUUCACAUGGACUUCAAUAUGAACUCAAGAGUGUGAGAAUAAACUUAUAAAAGGAUGGUUGUGAUAUUAUGUGAUGAGAACGUAAAACCUUAUAAAUUCCUUUGAAAAGCCUCUAUUCAAAUUUCAACCCAUAUGGAACAACAAUAUAACUUAACUGAAAAUGGCUAAGAAUCAAAUAUACGAUACUCUAAGACCACUCAAUUCUUUGUUUAUAGUAAAAUGUGUAGAGAAUAGCAAAAGAAAAGUAUAUAUAUUCGGGAAGCCUUCUGCUAGCCCAAGACCGUUAAUUAAGAUCGGAAGAUUCAACUAAACAAGAGGAAGCUGGAAAGGAGAACUUUGUUUAAGUAAGAAGACUCUUGAAUUGUCUUUGUUUGGGUUGUUCUUGGGUUGAUUACAAAUGCCUAAUGUCACCCCUAUUUAUUCUAGAUAUUUCUAUACUAUAAAUAUUCUUAAGUAUAUAUAUCAAAAAAUAAUUUACUCUACCAAAUUCUAGAAAGUUCUACGGGAUAUCUAAGAUAUUUUUGGUACCUCCAUAAAAUCAACUUUAAUUUUUCACAAAAUCAACUGCUACAAACAGCUUCACUGAAAACAAAUAGCACAGAAGAAAGGGUCUGGUUGUCUUCUGCUUAGGGAAAAAUUGAUUAUUGAAAACACUUUUGUGUACAUGACAUUAACAUCUCUCAUUUUCAUAUGUGAAGUUUGCAUCCAAGAAGUUCCAAAAGAGGAAGUGAUAAUGUGGUAUGCAUUGUUCACUUUCACAUCCCAUUUUUCUGUUUCUUUGGUCCCUCUUCUUCCUGUUCCAUUACUUUGUUUUCCGUUGGGAAUUUUCUUCUAACUGCUAUGGAGGUUCAACCAUAUCAUACGCGUCGUCAAUGUUUAAAGCCCUUUUGUGAUGUCAUUUAGUGUAGUGAUGUAUAACAUCAUGUUGUGAUUUUAAAGAUUUGCUUAUCUUUUACCCAUGCCUAGGUUGACGCCUUACUUUGUCUUUACUCUUUACGCAUCAUCUGGUGUCGCCCUGAAAAUUUUUGUGUAGUUAAGGUCUUUGAUUCUACCUUAAUCGUAAAAUGCAUCCCUUGUACUUAGGAGGUCAUACAAUCAGUAAGCUUGAUGACAUGCUUUUGUCGAAGAAUGACUAUGAUGAUUGAACUUCUGCAAUUCGUUUGUCGGCAGGUGGAGAUAUACAGCCAUUGUUACGAGAAACAACCUUUGGUUAUCCAAGGUGCUGGAGCAGGAAAUGAUACCACAGAAGCUGGUGUCCUAGCUGAUAUCCUUGACAUUCAAGAUUUAUUCCCUUGACUGAGUAUUACACACUGAGAUACAAACAUUCGAUCCUCAUAGGAUGAAAAAUCGACUCUUCCUGUCCCUCUGCUUUCAGAUUGGAGAUUGAAAUCAUGCUAAGAAAGCUCACAUAUUUUUUGAAAAAAUUCUCGAUACACAAGAGUGCCUUGUCAGUUUACAGUAGAUUAUAAUGCAAUUUCUUUCGUGCAUAACGACUCAAAUGGAACAGUGCAAACUGAGUCAUUUGCCUCAGUACUGGACUAGUUUUUAGGAUUUCACUUCAGCUUAUAAUCAGUUUGCUUUAUAAUGACCAUUUUGGUACCCCAACUUUUUAUGUUAUCACAAUUUUAGAGACUUAUCUCUUGGUUAUUAUGCUUUUCAAUGUAUGAAAUGAUGUGAGAUCAUGCUCAUGAUCUACACAUACCAGAUAAUCAUUAUCUUAAAAUGGAAAAGAACUACUAAAUGAUAUCAAGUAAUAAUCGCCAUUAGUGAUAUCCAAGCAUAAUUUGGUACUCUCGUAAGUUGUUUUCAUCACAACUCGAAUGUCAUCGAAAGUUUUCCAUGGUAACUGUUUACAAUAACAAGGUAUAACAAUUAUUACGCCUCAGUCUCAAACAAGUUAGGGUCGGCUAAACAAUCAAAAACUUGGCAUCAGUUGACAAGUAAGCGCUCAACUGACAACUAAACACUUCAUCUCAUCCCACUAUGUCUUGUGGACACUGGAUGCUGACGUGUCACAUAAAUUUUGGUUGUCUAGAUGUGCAUGCUCAAAGUUGGAGUGCAUACUUGCCUGUUUAGGCCAAAUUUGAGUUGUCUGUCAGAGCAAGAUCAGACCACACACGGGGACUAUCGCCUACCUCAAAGCUUAGAUAUGAGAUCGAAUCGCAUUAAAAAACAAGACCUAAGCAUGUAGCAAAUUAUCUUACCCAGUCUACAAGAUACAUGUUCAUGGCCCUUGGGCCUUAGGACAUCUUCAUCAGGUACCACUCCAGAAUCUCCUGCAUUAUUUACCUGCAGAAAUUUAUUCAGCAACUGUCCAAUAUUUGCCUCGAGAUCGAAUAAGGAUUAAUACAUAGAUUCAUGCUCUUACCAGAAUAUCAAGCCUCCCAUAUUGUGUUUGUAUGAACUUUGCUAAGGACUCAAUGCUCUGAGCAUCAACAUCAAGUUGUUCAUUCAGCAAGGAUGUUGCUUCAGUUCCUCUCUUUUCGUCUCUGGCUGUUAAGACAACCGUUACACCUGAAUUGGCGAGCUGCUUAACAGUCUCGAAGCCAAUUCCCUUGUUUGCUCCAGUAACAACUGCAUACUUACAAACGUCUCCCAUCACUUAAGUCCAAUGUUUCUAACCUUUUCUCCUUUGGAAUCCUUUUGGGCAGAAGAAAAAAGAACAAUAUUUCAAACGAAAUAACGAUACAGGAAGAAAGAGGUACGUAUAGACUAAUAAUCCAAGAGUUUGAAAUAACAACCUCAGGGAAUUCAUUUCAUCUACCUAAGCCUUAAUUGACAGGAUCGAUUACCAGUAUAAAGUUGAUUAGUUCAGGUUUCCGCAGCUGCUAACCUAGACACUACUGUUAUUAAACCCAAAAAACCUCUCUCUUACCAUACUACGAGUCAGGGGUAUAACUAAUGGGACGCAAAGGGGUUCAUCCGAUCCACCCCCUCCCCGAAAAAUUGCUCCAUACAUGUAUACAAAGCCAAAAUUACUUUUUAUAUGUAAGCAUAGUAAUGUUACUUGAGACAAUCAAAACCUCUUUGUGUUUUUACAACAACAUACCCAAUGUAGUUCCACAAAGUGGAGUUUGGGGAGGAGGGUACGCAUACAUUACCCCUACCAUAGAGGUAGAUAGGCUAUUUCCGAAAAAACAGUCCAAAGCAGUUCUGAAAAAGAAGUAACGGAAGUGCAUAGUAAUAACAAAAACAACAGACAGCAAACAAAACAGAAACUAGAACAAAACAAAAGGAUAUAUAAUUGAGAUACGAGAAACAACAAAUAGUAACAAAACUGAAGCAAGAACAAAAUGAUACGAUAUAUAAUUGAGAUACAAGCAACAACAGAUAGUAACAAAACAAAAACUAGAACAAAACAAUACGAUAUAUAAUCGAGGUACAAGAAACAACAAAUUGUAAGAACAACGGAAGGACAACAAACUACAGGGCAAUACAAUCAUGUUAGACCUCAACUAAUUCCAACCAUUAUCUAUAAACUUACCCUGUCACAUGAAUCAAAACGAUAUAGUAAACAAUCAAAGACCAAAUUUCAGAAUCAGUUCAUUUUUGUCAAGAUUUGGAAAUAUUGAGUUACCUGUAAAACAAAUCUGAAAAUGGGGUUGGCAAUUGAAGGCCUAAUUUCUGUUCUACUAUCUACUACUGGUGUAAUUAAAUUUGAUGGAUAAAUAAAUACAUUACAUGAAAUAAAAAAAAUAACAAAAAAAGAGAGAGAAAGAAUGUGAAAAAAAAUGAAAAUAAAUAUGACUUUAGAGGCAAUGUUAUAGGGACUAAAAUCGUUAUUUCCACUUUUAUAUUAUGUUUUCAAUUCCCAUUAUAGGACUUUUUUGCUGUUUUUUUUUUUUGUGUGUGGCUAAAACAUAGUUUGUAGUACCACUAGCAAAAAAGAGAGAGGUGGAUAUAUUAUUUUCGUAGUUAGCAACGUGUUAUAUAUUUUUAUAGUGGACAUAUUGUAUUUUCACUCGAUGUCUGGUAUCCACAACAAUUUUUGCACAUUUUAGGGGCGGCUCCUGACAUGGUCAUUUUCCAUUCCAAUUUCCACAGCCCGUGUUUCUAAAUCAUCAUAUCAUAUCAUAUAUAUCAUAUAUUACUAAAAGUGGAAGUUCCAAAGUGCAAAGUUGGAUUACCAUUUUAUCCCUACACUGUAUAAAUCAUCAUAUCAUAUAUCAUAUAUCAUAUAUCAUCAUAUUCAUAUUCAUCAUAUCAUCAUAUUCAUAUAUAUAUAUUAUGAAAAGUGGGAAGCUUUUAACUUUAAAGUUGGAUUACCAUUUUACCCCUACGAUAAGUUAAAAUGUUAUAAAAUAUUUAAUUUAAUUAGAAUUCUCAAUAAGUUUUCUCUAAUAAAUAUUUGUAUUCAUAACCGAAUUUCUAUGCAACCUAUAAUUACAAUGCUUAAUAUGUAUUAACCUCUCACAAUUGAAUUAUGGAAAAAUUACAAAAAUUCCACCUUUUAGUUUACUUAUUAUCAUUAUCCCCUAUAAAUUUUAUAAAUUUCCAAAAUCCCUCAUUUUUGCACAUCAGAUUAAUGUAUCAACGCUUAUAUUAUUGUAUCUCGCGCUUAUAUUAUUGUAUCUCGCGCAUCAGAUUAAUGUACCAUGUAUAAAAUGUACAUCAUAUUAGUGUAUCAUGUAUAAAAUGUACAUCAGAUUAGUGUAUCAUGUAUAAAAUGUAAUGUAUCUUACUUAACAAUUAAUGUAUCUCGCGCAUCAGAUUAAUGUAUCAUCACUUAUAUUACUGUAUCCGUUUUGAGGGAUUUCUGUAAUUAUAAACUUUUAAGGGAUAAAUUGUAAUUUUGCCUUAAAAGUAUGUGAUUUCUGUAAUUUUCCCUUGAAUUAUUAUUAAUAAUAAUAAUUUAUAUAUAUAUAAUUAAAUCAAAUAUUUAAUUAAAUAUCUAAUUAAAAAAUAUUAUUUUGCGCACCUUAAGUAAAAGUUAAAUAAAAUUCAAUUAAUUAAUUUUUCAAUUACAUAAAUUGAACGGGAUUUGGAAGUGGAAAAGUGGUACUUUAAUGCUCAGACAAACGUAUCCAAGGAAUUCACAUAAUACAUGAUUAAUUGCUUUAAAUUAACACAUCAUGUAUUACUUUACCUAACUUUUACAAUUCCUAUAAUUUGUCUUUUCAUUUUCUUUAACUUAACUUAUCAAAUUCUAACACUUUUAAAUUAGUAACCAAUCUUUGUUAAUAUAACAAUCAAUAGAAUUUGAAUAGUUCAUUAAGUAUUUAAGUGUAGGUUAAUAAAUACAUAUUAUGUUAAAAGGAAUUUUAAAGAACAUAAAAAAAAACACUAUAUAAAGGUAACAAAUGAUUUCCAUUUCCUUAUGCAUGAAAUAAGAAAAUGGGAGAUGGAGAAACAUGUAGAGUUGAUAGAUGUUGGAAUUGAAUAAUUGUCAUAUCAAUUUACAUGCAACAUUCAACAUUCAUUGGAUGAUAUAUGAAGACCACUAUCUCCGUAUGGAGUGCUACCAGAAAUUCAUGAGCUAUGAAAAGGAGGAAGUUGGUUUCUUUGGAAGAUUUGAUUUUAGAAUUUUCAUUAAUUGAUUUAUUCUUAUAAUGUACUGUAAUUAUAAUUGUUUACGGCUAUAGAUAAAUGCGACGUUAUUUGUGUAUUUGGAAGGGAGUUAUAAAAUGAUAUCUUGUAGUAUUUUACUAUAAAAGUGGGAACUACCAAGUUAAAAGUUUGAGAACUACCAAGUUAAAAGUUUACAUCUCUGGCAUUCAUCUUAAUUUGUUUGUUAUUGUUGAUAUAGUAGUUGGAUAUCACAGGUUAUAUGCCUUCAUGGCAACAUCUGAUUGGUAUUGAAAAAAUUAUUUCGUAAUUUUUGUAUUCUGUAAUGUGUCUUCAUAUGUAUCUUCAUAUUUGAAUUUACUGAUUCAUUUUACUGAAAGAAUUAGGAGUAUCCGCGUCAUAUAUAAAUAUAGUAUCAAACUUUAAAAGGAAAAUUUUCUUUUAUUUUGAUAUGAUAUCAUUGAAUAAAAACUAUUUUAGCUAAGUUGCAAUUUUUUGCUACAUUUAUUUUCAAAACUAAAUAUGUAUGUAUUUUUUUAAAUAUCAUUAAUAUGGGAAACACACGCAACGCGCGUGUCCGGAGACUAGUAUAUUACUAAAAGUGGGAAGUUUCAAAGUGCAAAGUUGGAUUAUCAUUUUACCCCUACACUAUAUAAAAAUAUUAUAAAUAAUAAUAUAUAUUAAUUAAUUAUUAAUUAUUAAUCCAACUCAAAAGUUAAUUUUUUAUUAUCAAUUAUGAGUUAUGACUCUUCAAUGGCUCAAUCCCAUUUUUCAGCAACCAUACAACUUCAGCUAUUUUAAUCGUAUACUAUUUUCUGUUUUCAAAGCAUUUAGUUAUUUUUCCAUAUUGAAUUAAAUAUUUUAUGUUUUAUAAGCAUUUAGUUAGUUUUCCGUAUCAAAUUAAAUAUUUUCAGUUUUCUAAACAUUUAAUAGACUCUUCAGUUUUGGAAUAUGAAUAGUUAUUUUCAUUUUCUAUAUAUUUACUGUGAAUAAAUUAUUAUUUUUUACUUCUAAUCCUUUUUAUAGUUUUCUCUUGUAUUUGCUUAGCCUUUGUGUUUGCUAAUUACUAAUUUUUAUUUAUUUUUCUUUGCUUCAGAUCUUAUCUUGCAAUUGUGAUCUCUUCCCUUCUCAAUUGCAUCAUCAGCUACAUAAUAGAUAUGAUAUUCAUAUCAUUGGAGUUAUGCUUAGUCAUGAAGAAGGUAAACAUACAUUAAGCCAAUUCACUAGGAAUCUUUUUAGUUUGUUAAGAUGUGUCUCAUUAUUAGGAAUCUUUUUAGUUUGUAUUAAGUUCUAGCUUGUUUGUGAAUAUGGAUUGAUUAUGUUAUAUUUCAUAAUAUUAUUAUAUUUAAACAAUUUAGUUAAUAUUCUCCUAUAAAAUCUACACAUGAAGGAUUCAUAAUCUUGAAUCAAACAAAGAAAGUCGUACAUGCAAUUAUCUAAUACAAAUAAAUAUGAUUUUUGCAAGUGUACCCCGUGAAUUGACAACGAUACAUUAUCCAUCUUAAAGAAGACAUAUGUUAAUCAAUAUUUCUAUAUUAUGAAAUACAAUUUUUAUUCGAAAACAACAUCUUGAUAUGUAUGUGGAUAUAUAUAAUUGUAACAUCCGGCAAUGUGAAAUGGCUAUGGAGAGGCUUAAGAAUUUGAAAUUUGUCAUUUUUGGAUUGAAUUUUGAAAAUCUGGAAAAUUGGCUAAGUGUGGAAAAAUGAGUUUUUGGCCAACUUUGAACAUCCAUAAAUUAUAUCUCAGGAUGAGUUAGCGGAUUUCCAGUUAUGGUUGCAAAGUUCGUGGAACGAUCUUUCCAAUGCCACCAAGUUUGCUCGAUUCCGAGUUCGUAUGAGCGAGUUAUGGCCAUUGAAAGUUGGGCAGCUGGCAGGGAAUCCGUCCGGAAAUUUUAAGGGCAUUUGGGUCUUUUCCCUUGCCAUUUCUUUUGGGAUUAUAUUGUUGUAUUAGGCUGAUCUUUGGAUCAUUUUGUCCCAUUUUGAAAGAGAAAGAGUUAGGGUUCUUGAGAGUGAAGAAGAGAAGAAGAAGAGAUCAACAAGAUUCGCCAAGAUCAUCGUGGAUUAUCGUCGGGGGUGAUCCCUACUAGGUAUGUGAGUUCUUUGUGUGGGUUGAUCCUUUCCCCCACACACCAAGCUCAUGUUUAUGGUUUGAGAAAAGAUUGGUUGAGUUGUUGAAGUUCUUGUUGGUUUGGGACAUGAUUUGGUUGUGUUUUGAGUCGAAAUCUAUUGUAUGUUGAGGGAUUUAUGAUUCUAAGUGUUUGGGGCUGAAAACCUUUUAAGUUAAGAGAGUUGAGAGUUGGUAACGUGAAGGAGAAAAGCCGGGCAGCUUGCAUGGAGCAAGUCUGCGUCGCGGCUUUGUUCCCAGAGGGAACAAAAGCUUCUCCGCGUCGCGGACAGAACGCGAACUUCACUGUUUUCAGAAUUUAAUCUCAUAAAUUUCCUUAAGUUUAGCUGUCCUAAAUCAUUCCUAAAUCAUUCCUAAACACCAUGAGGUCUUUCCAAACACAAAACAUGAUCCUUAAAUCCAUAAUUCCAAUCAAGAAAGUUAGGAUCAAAGUCAAGCCUAGAAGUUAAGAAUUUUAAGUCAAAGCAAGUUUUCAAGUUGUUCAAGAGUCUUCAUUGAAUGUUUUAACUUCAUUGUGAGGCUCAAGUUUCAAGUUAGUUCAAGUUAAGUCAAGCGUUUCGAGUUGAGCAUUGAGUUUCAAGUCAAGUAAAGAGCAUAAGGGUUUAAAGUUGAGUUCAUUUCUCAAAAGUAUUAGGGAACUAAGUAUUCCCAAAGAAGUUUAUAAAUGUUUUCACAUUUAAGUAAGAAAGGAACUAUGAUUUCCAAAAGAGAGCCUUUGGGCUAGUUUUCAAGAAAAAGGAAUAUCGAUUCCAAGAGAGCCUUUGGGCUAAGCUUUGAGUAAUUAUCUCAAAUUAAAGAAAGAUGUGUUUAAAACACUUAUGAGCGAAAGUAUUUUUGGGAGUAUUAUUGAGCACCGAAUUGGGGACACGAGUUCAUAUUAACUCAACUCUCCAUAAGAACCAUGCGCCAACAUGGGAUUUCUCGGGUCAUACUUUUUAGAUAAUCACGAAAGUUAAGCUAGUGGAUCCAUUAAGCAAAGGUAAGGUCCUAUAUCACGGCAAGGUAUAGGAUGGUCCUUGGGUUACGUGAGGUAAAACGUUGUAUCAUCACUAGGGCUCAUAGUGGUGGUUGUCGGUUAAAGAAUCUCCCACAAAAGUUAUAUUACUUUUAUAUAAGUAAAGUUGAGUUUGUUAUUGUUUUAUCAUUAAUGAACUAAGUUGUUUAUACUAUUUUACAAGUUUUAUAUAUUGCAUGUGUCUUAUUGCUUUAUAUAUUGAGUUCAGUUAUGCAUGAGUUGAACAGAGCCAAGGUAGGAGUUCCUUUGUACUAUUUUCAAGCGUAAGUAGUGGUUCAGCUUUCCAGCUCGCAUACUCGUACAUUCCAUGUACUGAUGCCAGUUGGCCUGCAUCUUUUUAUGAUGCAGACGCAGGUACCCAGGAUCAGCAUCCAGUACGUCGUUGAUCCAGUUGAGCACUCCAGAGUCAGUGGUGAGCCUCCUUGCUUUUCGGAGGACUCGGCUAUCUUGUUCUCUUAGUUUUGCUUUAUUAGGAUGUUGCGGGGUCUGUCCCAACAUCCAUCUCAGUAUUAUAGAGGCUUCAUAGACAGUCAGUCAGUUAGUUUUUGAGUCUCUCAUCUAUGUAUAUAUGUAAAUAUUUUAUUUUGAGACUCGAGUUGCCUUUGUGGCCAGAUAUUAUCAAUUGGGUUGUUUUAUAACCUUUCAUUGCAUGGAGUUAUUCUAUUAAGUUAGGUUUCCGCUGAGUUAAGAAAGCCAGGCCAAGGGUUCGCUUGGGGGCCAGCAAUGGUCUUCGAGUGCCGGCCACGUCCAGGGUGUAGACUCGGGGCGUGACAAUAAUUAAGGAGGAGACUAUAGUUUCUUAAAAAUAAGACACAAACUUUAAGAUAUGAAAUAUUUACAAACAUAAUCAACGUUACUUAUGUUUACCUAUAAACUAUAUGUUAUUGAACUAUUAAAAAAAUAAGAGAAGUGUCACACUGAGUAUAAGAUAUUUGAGAACUACAUAAGAAAAAUGUUAAAUCAAUUCAAUUGACUAUUUAUAGCUACAAACAAUUCCCUUUUCUAAAUUUAAUCACUUAUUACUUACAUGUUUUAGCAUCAUCUAUAUCAUUUAAAAAAUUGUACUAAUUAACAUGAGACACACGUCCGAAAACUAGUUUUAAAUAAGGGUAGAAAAAUCUCAACUAUAGCACCACAACUCAUAUAAGUUGUAUUGGAUAUACAAGUGUAGACUAAAAAAUAUAACUAUGCAAGUGCAAAUAUUUUUGAAAAGAACCAAAUAACAAGCAAAAUGCUCUAUUAAUGUAUGGUAUUUGUAUAUUUAAAUUUUGAUGUAUGUCAAUCACUACUUUAUUGAAUGUUUAUUGUUUUUGAGUAUUUUUUUGCUUUGCAGUUUUAAUUGUUGAUCUGAGAAUCUACUGAACAAUAUUAGCCUCCACUAUUGGUGGUUCAAUUUCUUCAAGAGUUGUCAUAUUACCCUUUUUUUCUGAAAAGAUUUUUGGUUUUCUCUGCUUCUUAUGUGUUAUGUGUUAUGUGUUCUUUUAUACUUUCUGCAAUUUCUUGUUAGUUUGUUUUACUAACAUGGAGAAAGGACAUUUUGUAGGGUAGAGAGGUUGUUUCCGAUAGACCCUCACCUUAAGUAAAUAUAGAAAAAAUAAUACCUUAGAGAAAAGGAAAAUGGAACAGAUUCCAAUUCUUCACAAUUCUAAAGCGUAUUCAUGAUAUGUUAGGCCCAAUUAAGCACUACAAUGAGCUGUUGAAAAAUGAACAAGUGCAUAAAGCAAAAGUAGUUAAUAGACAUAAAGCAAAAGAUACCUUCCUCUAUUGCCUCAAUUAGUGGAGUGAUACUUUUUGAAAAGAGAAAAGAGGACAAUAUUGCUUCUUGUAGAUUAGCUAAAACAUAGUUGUACUAAUUAAAGAGAGAGCAAUCACUGAUCCUUCUUGUUUGCAAAUUACUCUUAACAUUCAACAGGUAAAGUAAAGUUCUAUCUUAGUAGUUGAAGCUAGAUAGAAAAUCAUUUUGUGUUUCCUUGCAGAUUUCAGAAAUGGAGAUUGGUUUAACAGUUGGUAGUGCAUUUCUCUCCUCAGCUUUGAAUGUUCUGUUUGAUAGGCUUGCUCCUCAGGGUGAUCUUCUCAACAUGUUUCAGAAGCAUAAGCAUCAUGGUCGGCUCUUAAAGAAGCUGAAAAUGACUUUGCGUGGUCUUCAGAUUGUGCUAAGUGAUGCAGAGAAUAAGCAAGCAUCGAAUCAAUUUGUGAGCCAGUGGCUUAAUGAGCUUCGACAUGCUGUGGACUCUGCUGAAAACUUGAUUGAAAAAGUCAAUUAUGAAGCUUUGAGGCUUAAGGCUGAAGGUAAGCAUCAAAAUCUUGCAGAAACAAGCAACCAUCAAGUAAGUGACCUCAACCUGUGCUUGAGUGAUGAUUUUUUCCUUAACAUAAAGGACAAAUUGGAAGACACUAUUGAAACAUUAAAGGAUCUGCAAGAGCAAAUUGGUGACCUUGGCUUAAAGGAGCAUUUUGGUUCCACGAAACAAGAAACUAGAAGACCUUCAACUUCUUUGGUUGAUGAAUCUGAUAUCUUUGGUAGGCACAAGGAAAAAAAGGAUUUGAUUGACCGUUUAUUGUCUGAAAGUGCAAGUGGAGAAAAGCUGACCAUAGUUCCUAUAGUUGGAAUGGGUGGUGCGGGUAAGACAGCACUAGCUAAAGUUGUUUACAAUGAUGAGAAAGUGAAGAACCAUUUUGGUUUGAAAGCUUGGUAUUGUGUUUCUGAGCCAUAUGAUGCUUUGAGAAUAACAAAAGGGUUACUUCAAGAAAUUGGUUCAUUUGACUUAAAGGAUGAUGACAAAAAUCUUAAUCAGCUACAGGUCAAAUUGAAGAAUAGCCUGACGGGAAAAAAGUUUCUUGUUGUCCUUGAUGAUGUUUGGAAUGAUAACUAUAGUGAAUGGGAUGACCUGAGAAAUCUUUUUGUACAAGGAGAUAUUGGAAGUAAGAUCAUUGUGACGACACGUAAGGAGAAUGUUGCCUUGAUGAUGGGUAGUGGGGCAAUCAACGUGGGGACUCUGUCUGAUGAAGUCUCCUGGGAUCUAUUCAGACGACAUUCACUAGAAAACAGAGAUCCUAAAGAACAUCCAGAACUUGAAGAGGUUGGAAAACAAAUUGCACACAAGUGCAAAGGAUUGCCUUUAGCUCUGAAGGCACUUGCUGGUAUUUUACGCUGCAAAUCAGACGUGGAUGAAUGGAGGGACAUUUUAAAAAGUGAAAUUUGGGAGCUGCCAAGUCAUUUGAAUGGUAUAUUACCAGCGUUGAUGUUGAGUUACAAUGAUCUUCCUGCACAUUUGAAGCAAUGUUUUGCUUUUUGUUCAAUAUAUCCCAAAGAUUAUCCAUUUUGCAAAGACCAAGUUAUUCACCUGUGGAUUGCUAAUGGUCUUGUACAGCAGUUUCAUUCAGGUAACCAAUACUUUCUCGAGCUGAGAUCAAGAUCACUGUUCGAAAUGGUCUCGGAGUCUUCUGAAAGAGACGUAGAGAAAUUCUUAAUGCAUGACCUUGUCAAUGAUUUGGCCCAAGUUGCAUCUUCAAAUCUUUGUAUAAGGUUGGAAGAGAACAAAGGAUCACAUACGUUGGAACAGUGUCGGCACAUAUCCUAUUCAAUAGGACAAUAUGGCGAGUUUGAGAAAUUGAAAUCACUCUUUAAAUCAGAGCAGCUGAGGACAUUACUUGCAAUCAAUAUCCAGCCCCAUUAUUAUCAUAUUAAGCUAAGCAAGAGGGUGUUGCAUAACGUAUUGCCAAGACUAGCAUCCUUAAGGGCAUUAACGUUGUCAAGCUAUGCAAUUGUUGAGUUGCCAAAUGACUUGUUUAUCGAAUUAAAGCUCCUGAGAUUUUUGGAUAUUUCUCGGACAAAGAUUAAAAGGUUGCCAGAUUCCAUUUGUGUGUUGUAUAACUUAGAGACACUUCUCCUAUCAUCUUGUGAUGAUCUUGAAGAUCUACCUCUGCAGAUGGAGAAGUUGAUCAACUUGCAUCACCUUGAGAUAAGCAACACUUGUCGCUUGAAGAUGCCGCUACAUCUGAGCAAGUUGAAAAGCCUCCAAGUGUUAGUGGGAGCCAAGUUUCUUCUAGGUGGUUCGAGAAUGGA
Molecule: long non-coding RNA, 32116 nt
Filed under: Solanum tuberosum (potato)
Lineage: Eukaryota; Viridiplantae; Streptophyta; Magnoliopsida; Solanales; Solanaceae
Description: long non-coding RNA (STUB_LNC011008)
Source: RNAcentral